This 478-nucleotide ribosomal RNA is filed under the name uncultured bacterium. RNAcentral's name for it is "partial 16S ribosomal RNA". It matches the Rfam family "Bacterial small subunit ribosomal RNA", at positions 28 to 523 of the family's 1533-position model. The record is from RNAcentral.
GACGAACGCUGGCGGCGUGCUUAACACAUGCAAGUCGAACGGUAAGGCCCUUCGGGGUACACGAGUGGCGAACGGGUGAGUAACACGUGGGUGAUCUGCCCUGCCCUUCGGGAUAAGCCUGGGAAACUGGGUCUAAUACCGGAUAGGACCACUGCCUGCAUGGGUGGUGGUGGAAAGCUUUUGCGGUGUGGGAUAGGCCAGCGGGCUAUCAGCUGGUUGGUGGGGUGAUGGACUACCAAGGCGACGACGGGUAGCGGGCCUGAGAGGGUGACCGGCCACACUGGGACUGAGAUACGGCCCAGACUCCUACGGGAGGCAGCAGUGGGGAAUAUUGCACAAUGGGCGCAAGCCUGAUGCGGCGACGCCGCGUGAGGGAUGACGGCCUUCGGGUUGUAAACCUCUUUCAGCACCGACGAAGCGCAAGUGACGGUAGGUGCAGAAGAAGGACCGGCCAACUACGUGCCAGCCGCCGCAGUAA